AGCGAACGCUGGCGGCAGGCUUAACACAUGCAAGUCGAGCGGGCACCUUCGGGUGUCAGCGGCAGACGGGUGAGUAACACGUGGGAACGUACCCUUGGUUCGGAACAACUCUGGGAAACUGGAGCUAAUACCGGAUACGCCCUUAUGGGGAAAGGUUUACCGCCGAAGGAUCGGCCCGCGUCUGAUUAGCUAGUUGGUGAGGUAACGGCUCACCAAGGCGACGAUCAGUAGCUGGUCGAGA
RNAcentral lists this ribosomal RNA (241 nucleotides) under uncultured bacterium. RNAcentral's name for it is "partial 16S ribosomal RNA". It matches the Rfam family "Bacterial small subunit ribosomal RNA", at positions 29 to 297 of the family's 1533-position model. The record is from RNAcentral.